UCAGGAGUCUUAAAGAGAAAUAAGAACAGGUACUACUGUACUUAAACACCAUCUAAAGCUCUGCACCACUCAGGAGUCUUAAAGAGAAAUAAGAACAGGUACUACUGUACUUAAACACCAUCUAAAGCUCUGCACCACUCAGGAGUCUUAAAGAGAAAUAAGAACAGGUACUACUGUACUUAAACACCAUCUAAAGCUCUGCACCACUCAGGAGUCUUAAAGAGAAAUAAGAACAGGUACUACUGUACUUAAACACCAUCUGAAGCUCUUCACCACUCAGGAGUCUUAAAGAGAAAUAAGAACAGGUAGUACUGUACUUAAACACCAUCUGAAGCUCUUCACCACUCAGGAGUCUUAAAGAGAAAUAAGAACAGGUACUACUGUACUUAAACACCAUCUAAAGCUCUGCACCACUCAGGAGUCUUAAAGAGAAAUAAGAACAGGUACUACUGUACUUAAACACCAUCUAAAGCUCUGCACCACUCAGGAGUCUUAAAGAGAAAUAAGAACAGGUACUACUGUAC
Long non-coding RNA from Oncorhynchus keta (chum salmon), 524 nucleotides. RefSeq lists it as uncharacterized. The transcript has 5 exons. Lineage: Eukaryota; Metazoa; Chordata; Actinopteri; Salmoniformes; Salmonidae. The record is from RefSeq and is a predicted model, not a curated record.